RNAcentral lists this ribosomal RNA (318 nucleotides) under Triticum aestivum (bread wheat). Its description in RNAcentral is "partial small subunit ribosomal RNA". Lineage: Eukaryota; Viridiplantae; Streptophyta; Magnoliopsida; Poales; Poaceae. The record is from RNAcentral.
CCGACGCCUGCGACCCCCUGGCAAACCCUAACGCCCAUCCCCCUCGUCUCCCUCUCCGCCUCUCGAUUUCGUCCACACCCGAGACCACAGUUGCUGCUGCCUUCUCGAUCCCGUGGCCACCGGCCUCACCUCAUCGCGCCAAGACGUCCAGGAGUUCCUCCAUCGUCUUCUCCUUCGCCCUCGCCUAAGGGCUCGAGCUAGGAGGGCUGGUAAGCUCGACAUCGAGCAUAUCUUCGUCGGUACAUCGCCGGUGUCCGACGUCGUUUGCCACGGCUCCGGUCCACCUCCGGCCUCCCCGACCACAUCUUCGAGCUCGCG